GGGAUUGCCCUAGUAACGGCGAGUGAAGCGGCAACAGCUCAAAUUUGAAAUCUGGCGCAAGCCCGAGUUGUAAUUUGUAGAGGAUGCUUCUGGGCAGCGGCCGGUCUAAGUUCCUUGGAACAGGACGUCACAGAGGGUGAGAAUCCCGUAUGUGAUCGGUUGGCACCCGCUACGUAGCUCCUUCGACGAGUCGAGUUGUUUGGGAAUGCAGCUCUAAAUGGGAGGUAAAUGCCUUCUAAAGCUAAAUACCGGCCAGAGACCGAUAGCGCACAAGUAGAGUGAUCGAAAGAUGAAAAGCACUUUGGAAAGAGAGUUAAAAAGCACGUGAAAUUGUUGAAAGGGAAGCGCAUGCAACCAGACUUGUCCGCGGUGUUCCGCCGGUCUUCUGACCGGUCUACUCGCCGCGGGCAGGCCAGCAUCAUCUGGGAGCGCCGGAUAAAGGUAGCGGGAAUGUGGCCCCUCGGGGUGUUAUAGCUCGCUACACAAUACGGCGCCUCCCGGGUGAGGUCCGCGCUUCGGCUAGGAUGCUGGCGUAAUGGUUGUAUGCGGCCCGUCUUGAAACACGGACCAAGGAGUCUACCAUCUAUGCGAGUGUUCGGGUGUCAAACCCCUACGCGCAAUGAAAGUGAACGGAGGUGGGAACCGCAAGGUGCACCAUCGACCGAUCCUGAUGUCUUCGGAUGGAUUUGAGUAAGAGCAUAGCUGGUGGGACCCGAAAGAUGGUGAACUAUGCCUGAAUAGGGUGAAGCCAGAGGAAACUCUGGUGGAGGCUCGCAGCGGUUCUGACGUGCAAAUCGAUCGUCAAAUUUGGGUAUAGGGGCGAAAGACUAAUCGAACCAU
Molecule: ribosomal RNA, 840 nt
Filed under: Neocatenulostroma abietis
Lineage: Eukaryota; Fungi; Ascomycota; Dothideomycetes; Mycosphaerellales; Teratosphaeriaceae
Description: eukaryotic LSU rRNA
Rfam family: Eukaryotic large subunit ribosomal RNA
Source: RNAcentral